RNAcentral lists this long non-coding RNA (386 nucleotides) under Equus caballus (horse). RNAcentral's name for it is "lncRNA (ENSECAG00000046775.1)". Lineage: Eukaryota; Metazoa; Chordata; Mammalia; Perissodactyla; Equidae. The record is from RNAcentral.
UGAAAUUUGUGGUCAACAUUUACAUAUUAAGAGAUUCUACACAAAAAUCUGGAUUUCUGGAUUCUCAUGAAAAACUUGAUGUGGCCACACUGGGCCUACUUUUCCACAUGGCAGCAAUUGGCUGGAGCUGAAGAGCAGCUGGCUCUUUGAGACGGGACGCUGGCUGAAGCUCGGGCUUUGGAAUGAGACAGAAUCUGGAUUCACCACUAACUGCCUGUGUAAUCUUGAAUAAGGUUUUUAACCCCUCUCAGCCUCUAUGUCUAGAGCUGGAGAGUAGAGAGAGAAUGCCACCCAGCUGAUAGAAUUGCUGCGGCGAUGAGCAAGAGAGCAAGUCCUGCCUCUCAUGUAAACAGUCCUCUGGCAGGUCUGCCCUGCCAGUCCUCCCA